Molecule: ribosomal RNA, 716 nt
Filed under: uncultured bacterium
Lineage: Bacteria
Description: bacterial SSU rRNA
Rfam family: Bacterial small subunit ribosomal RNA
Source: RNAcentral
AUUAGAGUUUGAUCCUGGCUCAGGACGAACGCUGGCGGCGUGCCUAACACAUGCAAGUCGAACGAAACUUUUUGCUUCGGUAGAAAGUUUAGUGGCGGACGGGUGAGUAACGCGUGAGGAACCUGCCUUUCAGAGGGGGAUAAUGUCUGGAAACGGACACUAAUACCGCAUGACAUUUUCUGUUCACAUGGACAGAAAAUCAAAGGAGCAAUCUGCUGAAAGAUGGACUCGCGUCCGAUUAGCUAGAUGGUGAGAUAAUAGCCCACCAUGGCGACGAUCGGUAGCCGGACUGAGAGGUUGAACGGCCACAUUGGGACUGAGACACGGCCCAGACUCCUACGGGAGGCAGCAGUGGGGGAUAUUGCACAAUGGAGGAAACUCUGAUGCAGCAACGCCGCGUGAAGGAAGACGGUCUUCGGAUUGUAAACUUUUGUACCUAGGGACGAUAAUGACGGUACCUAGGCAGCAAGCUCCGGCUAACUACGUGCCAGCAGCCGCGGUAAUACGUAGGGAGCGAGCGUUGUCCGGAUUUACUGGGUGUAAAGGGUGCGUAGGCGGCCAAGCAAGUCAGCUGUGAAAACUAUGGGCUUAACCCAUAGCCUGCAAUUGAAACUGUUUGGCUUGAGUGAAGUAGAGGUAGGUGGAAUUCCCGGUGUAGCGGUGAAAUGCGUAGAGAUUGGGAGGAACACCAGUGGCGAAGGCGACCUACUGGGCUU